RNAcentral lists this transfer RNA (64 nucleotides) under Coenochilus striatus. Its description in RNAcentral is "tRNA-Pro". Lineage: Eukaryota; Metazoa; Arthropoda; Insecta; Coleoptera; Scarabaeidae. The record is from RNAcentral.
CAGAGAAUAGUUUAUAAAAAAUAUUAAUUUUGGAGAUUAAUGAUGAGGGUUUCCUUUUCUCUGA